AGACCCAUGCCAAGGCCGUGAUCACUACUUUCUGGGUGAGUUCUCUUCAGAAGCACAAGUCCAUUCUAGUUUCAUGAAUGAUUUAACUCAUGGCUUCUUCCAUUCUUGUUUCAUGCAUGAUUAUAGAAAUUCUAUCGAGUUCUUCCGGAGCACAGGGCCAGAGCGGACCAGAUCGUGAUGCGCCAAUGCAAGAAGAAGGCCCGCCAGAUGCAGUACGAGGUGCGCUAUGUGGCCAUCUCGACAUACUACCACGACUAUCUUAGUGUGAAGAUGACCAAGGAAGAAGCGCGGAGGAUGGGCAUUACCUUGGAGAGGGACGAGUUCUUGGCGGUGUGUCCAAAUUGGUGUUAUGGAAAAGACGAGUCCUGGGCGGCAUUGGUGGAUCUUUGGUGUGAUGAGGCUGGAGCCUGGGCGGCUAUGAGAAUAAAAAACAAGGCUAACCGAGGGAAGGAGGGAGUACAUGCUCAGGGAAACUGAAACCACUAUCUCCACAAGGCAGUUAAUGAGGAGAAAUUGAAGCGGCCGCUCUCACACAUGCAGGCGUGGGAGAUAGCCCAUACGCUGAAGGACCCCAAGCCUGGCGAGCC
Triticum urartu is the source of this 587-nucleotide non-coding RNA. The record is from RefSeq and is a predicted model, not a curated record. Lineage: Eukaryota; Viridiplantae; Streptophyta; Magnoliopsida; Poales; Poaceae.